AGGACAGGACGCCGCCGGGUGCACGUCCCGGGGACACACCGACGGCGCCGUGCGUGGUGCUCACGCCCCGGGGGGGCUCUGUCCCCCCCCCAAGCCCCCAGUGUCGGUGCUGGCCUCAGGUCGAAGCCGCCCCUUGCCCGUUUCUUCUCCCCGGAGGAGGGGGUUUUGGGGGGUUGUUUUCAGGCACAAAUCCUGCCCCUCCCGGAGCGGUGCUGGGAGCGCUGGAGCCGAGGGAAGCUUCGGGGGGGAGAGCAGAAAAACGGGGAGGGGAAGAGGAUCGCGGGGGGAGAGCCUGGGAAGGGGUUAGGGUGCUGGAAUGAGAGGGGACCCUGCUGUCCCCAUGGGGCGCCCUGCUGGUUUUUAGGGUCUGGCGCAGAGGUGACCCCACUGAGGCUGCGGGGCACAGCCCUGGGGGGCGGGGGGGGCUUCGUGCGGUUGGUUUGGGGCUUCCCCUCCUGGAGGCUCCUGGGUGGGUCCGGACAAAGCCCCACAGUCGGCAUCCUCCUCCUCCUCCUCCCCCAUAGUGGGACACGGGCUGCUGGGGGGCCCCCCGGACCCCUCCCCUCCCAGCAACAGGAGGAGGAGGAGGAAGGGGAGGAGGAGGAAGGGGUUGAAGCCCCCAUCCUGCCCUCCCCUACACAGCAACAGGGCAGCGAUUGGGCGCUCAGGGGCUCGCAGGACCAAUGGGGUCUCCUCCUUUUUUUGGGGAGGGGGAGAAAGGAAGGCGCAGCCCCUCUCCCCUUCGCCUCCCCCCCACCCUCGGGAGGCAGCCCCCGGCCCCCAGCUGGUGGAAAGCGGCAACUGCAGCCGCGGGGGGUGAAGCACCCUUGGGGGGAUGCUUUUGGGGUCCCAGCAGGGCCAGGUCCUCCCCUUGGUCCCCUGCACCGAGCUGGCUUUGCCCCAGCUCCUAGGGUGGGCACCCCUGGGGGCAGGGUGGCUCCCAAACCCCAUUGCCAGGACCCCUGGGUGCAGGUCAGUUCCCAAACCCCACUGCUGGGGGCCGUGGGGAGGGGGAGAAAAGCCGUGGCCACGUGUGAUGGGCAACACCAGCAGCCUCAGGGACCUCAGCAGGCUGCAGGAGGUGGCGAUGGGGACGUGGGGACGUGCACGUCCCUUUGGGGCUCCGGGAUGUGGGAAAGGGCUGGAGUGGGGUCUUUGUGCCUCUGCCCUCAUCUGGCUUCUGCAAGAGCCUUUCCUGGAGCAGGAGGCCCUUUCUGUGCACCCCAGCUCUCCAAAACUCCUUCCCAUCUGAUUUUUUUUUUCAGCAUCUUCCAAAAUAAAGCAAGGCUGAAUGCCGGAGGAUGUGAAAGCACCCAAAAUACAACCAGCAGCACCGCUGUCCUUUCUCAUCCUUCCCCUAGCUGGCAGCUUUCAGCCUGUUUUUUUUUUCCCCUAUAUUUUUACACGAACCCCACACGCGGAGUGUUGGGGUGGCAGCUCCGUGGCACGGGGAAGGCAGCAGCCACGCAUGCAGUGUCUGGAGCAGCCACCAGACGGCAAAUCCAGCCCGGGUUAUGGCAGCGGGGAGGUCUGGUCUGCAGGAGGGGAUGCUCAGAGCAGCCCAGACACCCAGCCCUCGGCCUCUCCCUGCGUUUUGGGAUCCCUCAGACACGUUCGGUGCAGUUACAGAAAGGGCUUUAUUGGCCGGUAUGA
RNAcentral lists this long non-coding RNA (1653 nucleotides) under Anas platyrhynchos platyrhynchos (common mallard). Its description in RNAcentral is "lncRNA (ENSAPLG00000019171.1)". The record is from RNAcentral. Lineage: Eukaryota; Metazoa; Chordata; Aves; Anseriformes; Anatidae.